UUGGAGGGCAAGUCUGGUGCCAGCAGCCGCGGUAAUUCCAGCUCCAAUAGCGUAUAUUAAAGUUGUUGCAGUUAAAAAGCUCGUAGUUGAAUUUCGGGGUUCUACCGUUGGUCGGGCUUUGUCUGUACUGGUGUGUAGAAUUUCUACCUUCUGGGGAACCAUCAUGCUAUUAAUUUAGCGUGGUGGGAAACCAGGACCUUUACCUUGAAAAAAUUAGUGUGUUCAAAGCAGGCUUAUGUCCGAAUACAUUAGCGUGGAAUAAUAGAAUAGGACGGUGGUCCUGUUUUGUUGGUUUCUGAAUCACCGUAAUGAUUAAUAGGGAUAGUUGGGGGCAUUAGUAUUCAAUUGUCAGAGGUGAAAUUCUUGGAUUUAUUGAAGACUAACUUCUGCGAAAGCAUUUGCCAAGGAUGUUUUCAUUAAUCAAGAACGAAAGUUAGGGGAUCGAAGACGAUCAGAUACCGUCGUAGUCUUAACCAUAAACUAUGCCGACUAGGGAUCGGACGAUGUUAAUUUUUCUUGACUCGUUCGGCGCCUUACGGGAAAC
RNAcentral lists this ribosomal RNA (544 nucleotides) under uncultured Glomeromycotina. Its description in RNAcentral is "SSU rRNA". It matches the Rfam family "Eukaryotic small subunit ribosomal RNA", at positions 548 to 1098 of the family's 1831-position model. Lineage: Eukaryota; Fungi; Glomeromycota. The record is from RNAcentral.